CACGUAGGCACCAAGCGUUGUCCGGAUUUAUUGGGCGUAAAGAGCUCGUAGGCGGUUCAGUAAGUCAGGUGUGAAGUCUUUGGGCUUAACCCAAAGCGUGCACUUGAUACUGGUGUGACUUGAGUUCGGUAGGGGAGUGGGGAAUUCCUAGUGUAGCGGUGAAAUGCGCAGAUAUUAGGAGGAACACCGGUGGCGAAAGCGCCACUCUGGGCCGAAACUGACGCUGAGGAGCGAAAGCCAGGGGAGCAAACGGG
RNAcentral lists this ribosomal RNA (254 nucleotides) under uncultured bacterium. Its description in RNAcentral is "partial 16S ribosomal RNA". It matches the Rfam family "Bacterial small subunit ribosomal RNA", at positions 524 to 776 of the family's 1533-position model. The record is from RNAcentral.